Molecule: ribosomal RNA, 254 nt
Filed under: uncultured bacterium
Lineage: Bacteria
Description: partial 16S ribosomal RNA
Rfam family: Bacterial small subunit ribosomal RNA
Source: RNAcentral
UACGGGGGGGGGCAAGCGUUGUUCGGAAUUACUGGGCGUAAAGGGCGCGUAGGCGGCCUGCUAAGUCGAACGUGAAAUCCCCGAGCUCAACUCGGGAACUGCGUCCGAUACUGGCAGGCUUGAAUCCGGGAGAGGGAUGCGGAAUUCCAGGUGUAGCGGUGAAAUGCGUAGAUAUCUGGAGGAACACCGGUGGCGAAGGCGGCAUCCUGGACCGGCAUUGACGCUGAGGCGCGAAAGCCAGGGGAGCAAACGGG